RNAcentral lists this ribosomal RNA (465 nucleotides) under uncultured bacterium. RNAcentral's name for it is "partial 16S ribosomal RNA". It matches the Rfam family "Bacterial small subunit ribosomal RNA", at positions 28 to 507 of the family's 1533-position model. The record is from RNAcentral.
GACGAACGCUGGCGGCGUGCUUAACACAUGCAAGUCGAACGGAAAGGCCCCUUUGGGGGUACUCGAGUGGCGAACGGGUGAGUAACACGUGAGUAACCUGCCCUUGACUUCGGGAUAACUUCAGGAAACUGGGGCUAAUACCGGAUAGGAAUCCUUGCUGCAUGGUGGGGGUUGGAAAGCUUCGGCGGUUUUGGAUGGACUCGCGGCUUAUCAGCUUGUUGGUGGGGUAGUGGCUUACCAAGGCUUUGACGGGUAGCCGGCCUGAGAGGGCGACCGGCCACAUUGGGACUGAGAUACGGCCCAGACUCCUACGGGAGGCAGCAGUGGGGAAGAUUGCACAAGGGGCGGAAGCCUGAUGCAGCAACGCCGCGGGCGGGAUGACGGCCUUCGGGUUGUAAACCGCUUUCAGCAGGGGCGAAGCUUGUGGUGACGGUACCUGCAGAAGAAGCACCGGCUAACUACGUG